Molecule: long non-coding RNA, 1155 nt
Organism: Mus musculus (house mouse)
Lineage: Eukaryota; Metazoa; Chordata; Mammalia; Rodentia; Muridae
Product: predicted gene, 54023
Exons: 3
Source: RefSeq, a predicted model, not a curated record
UUCCUCCCCAAGUUGCGCUGGGUCAUGGUGUCUCAUCACAGCAAUAGUAAUCUUAACUAAGACAAAUUGAUAUCAGGAUUCUGAGGUGUUCUUGUGACUGAUUUGACAUUGGUAUUUUUUUUGGGGGGGGGGUAGGAUUGUAGAAGGACUUUGGAACCUUGGGCUAUGAAAACCAUUGAGUGUUCAAAGUUUGUCGAUCUUUUCUAAGGGAGCUUGGAAGAUUAGUGUGAUAGGAGAAAAAUAGGUCAUGGGGGGGGGGGAGCCUGAGAGUCUUUUAAAUCUGUCAGGGAUGUUGCGUAGUUUGAGUUAAGAAUCUGUGGUUCUGGUUACGUAGGGCUGAAAUAGUGACUGUAGUUGACAAGAGAUCAGAACCAAAAAAGAAAAAAAAAUUGCUUUACUGGUAUAAUUGAUGCUGGUCAGCUGGUCACUAGUAAGAAGUUAGAAGUGAUUAAGAAGAGACCAGCGUCACUGAGAGGAAAUCUUCUGGAAAGUGCUUCCUGAGAGUCUGCACACAGCCACCGUGUUCCAGAGGCAGCCAAGGUUGCAUCUCACACUGGACGCUCGAUUUGGUAAAGAGUCACUGAGGUGGUACUGGUUUUGAAGGCAUGAAGGGGUCAUGAAAAGCAGCUGAGGCUAGGUACUGUGAGAGGCCCAGAGAGUCUGUUGGUGAUGGAGCAGCCCAGUAGCAGCAGAGACCCCAGCAUUUUGGAGAUGUAAGUACCAUGGGACGACUGCCAAGGACAGCAGGGGAGGGGUGGAGCUGGCUUCAGCAUAAAGGAUAAGCUGUGUGUGCAUCAGAGGACAGAGCUGAAGAAGUGACCCAAGAAGCCCCUUGGAAGAGCCCAGAAGACGAUGACUGAAUCCCAGAUCCUGGAAAUUGAAUCAUUUACACCGUUGGAGUGUGGUUUUGUGUUCUUCAGAUUGCGACUGUGCCCUGGUUCUUCCCUCUUGAAACAAGGUUCUUGCUGUGUAGCUUAUAUUGGCCUGGAACUCCUUAUGUAGCCAGGGCCCCGGUUAGCUACCAACUGGCCAUCCUCUUCUCUCUGCCUUCCCAGUGCUGGGAUUACAGGCCUUGGUCCUCCUUGACCCACGGAAUAACUAAGUCCUACUGGACGGGACAAACAACAACAGCAACAGCAACAGCAACAGCAACAG